UUGAUUACGUCCCUGCCCUUUGUACACACCGCCCGUCGCUGCCCGGGACUGAGCCAUUUCGAGAAACUUGGGGACAGCCGAUCCGGCUGCCUUCGGGCAGCCGCUUUGGUCGAAACCAAUUUAAUCGCAGUGGCUUGAACCGGGCAAAAGUCGUAACAAGGUAGCUGUAGGUGAACCUGCUGCUGGAUCAUU
This 192-nucleotide ribosomal RNA is filed under the name Pratylenchus neglectus. RNAcentral describes it as "partial 18S ribosomal RNA". It matches the Rfam family "Eukaryotic small subunit ribosomal RNA", at positions 1641 to 1830 of the family's 1831-position model. Lineage: Eukaryota; Metazoa; Nematoda; Chromadorea; Rhabditida; Pratylenchidae. The record is from RNAcentral.